Molecule: ribosomal RNA, 847 nt
Filed under: uncultured archaeon
Lineage: Archaea
Description: bacterial SSU rRNA
Rfam family: Archaeal small subunit ribosomal RNA
Source: RNAcentral
ACGACUGCUAUUUGGGUGAGGAUAAACCAUGCGAGUUGUAUGGGAUACCUAAAUUUCCCAUAUCAAACUGCUUAGUAACACAUGAUCAACUUACCCUAUGGAGAAAUAUAACCUCGGGAAACUGAGGAUAAUGCUUCAUAGUUGAAUAGGCUUGGAAAAGUGUUUCAAUGAAAGGGAUAAGAUAAAUGGUUCUUAUCUGCCAUAGGAUAGGAUCGUGCUCGAUUAUGGUUGUUGGUGAGGUAACGGCUCACCAAGCCGAUAAUCGAUAGGGGCCGUGAGAGCGGGAGCCCCAAGAUGGGUACUGAGACAGCGACCCAGGCCUUACGAGGCGCAGCAGGUACGAAACCUCCGCAAUACACGAAAGUGUGACGGGGUUACCCAAAGUGUUCUGAUAGAACUGUGGCAGGUGAGUAAUGUCCCCUGCUAGAAAGGAGAGGGCAAGGCUGGUGCCAGCCGCCGCGGUAAAACCAGCUCUUCAAGUGGUCGGGAUAAUUAUUGGGCUUAAAGUGUCCGUAGCCGGUUUAGUAAGUUCCUGGUAAAAUCAGGUAGCUUAACUAUCUGCAUGCUAGGAAUACUGCUAUACUAGAGGGCGGGAGAGGUCUGAGGUACUACAGGGGUAGGGGGUGUAAUCUUAUAAUCCUUGUAGGACCACCAGUGGCGAAGGCGUCAGACUGGAAUGCGCCUGACGGUGAGGGACGAAAGCCAGGGGAGCGAACCGGAUUAGAUACCCGGGUAGUCCUGGCCGUAAACGAUGCAUACUAGGUGAUGGUACGGCCAUGAGCCGUGUCAGUGCCGUAGGGAAACCGUUAAGUGUGCCGCCUGGGAAGUACGGUCGCAAGGCUAAAAC